Long non-coding RNA from Maniola jurtina (meadow brown), 2220 nucleotides. RefSeq lists it as uncharacterized. The transcript has 3 exons. The record is from RefSeq and is a predicted model, not a curated record. NCBI's taxonomy places the organism in Eukaryota, Metazoa, Arthropoda, Insecta, Lepidoptera, Nymphalidae.
UUUUUCAUUAAGGUGGUUCGAUUUCCAUACUAAUUUAUUUUUCCAUUUAUGGACAUCUAGGCCAUAAUUUCAUACUGAAAUCACAUCAGUUGGCACUUAAUCAGAUCUUUAUUUGCGCUAAAAUAUAUUUAUCUGAAGAAAACAAUAGAUUAAUAGCUAAAUGAGAUCGAAAUUUUUACUAAUUUUUGUCAAUGUAUGAGUAGAAGGCGAUAGUGUCGUACGCUACGUACGUUUUAGUGGUGUGCGUUUCCGCUGCUUUCGUGGAAGUAGAUGCUGCGUUGCCAGUUCGCUGAUAGUAAGUUGGCAAGCGCUGUUGCCGCUCUUCGUUUUACGUUUGACGCAAAAUUAAAACUAUUAGCUUCAUGAAUAGCUUUCGAUGCGUCCCGGUCAGGUGAUGCCAAACGUAAGAGUUUCCUAAGAAUUUAGGGAAAAAUUCCCUAAAAGUUUGAAAUCAUGAACUAUUAACGCAGUAAUAUACUAAGCCUAUUAUUAUGAUAAAUAUACUUGCUUUUAGUAGCAUAAAGUAGUUGUAAAACUUUUUGAUCGAUUUUACCGAAACCAAAUUUUAUGUCAAUUUAUAUACUUUUAAUACUAUUAUUUCAUUAAUAUAGCCUUAAAAUCAUACUGAGGUAUUUAUAAUGAAUCGUAGUAAUUAAAAUAAUUAAAAUAAAAUAAUUAAAAUAAAAAUUAAAAAAAAGCUCUGGGUGUAUGGCGCACCGCGCAUUAUUCAAUAUCUAGGCAAAAACUAUUUAGAGAUGGUAACCCUCUUAUUGUGAAUUGCCGAUUGCGCGACGCGGUGGUACCUCUAGUGUUUGUGAUUUACAAGUGAUAAAGUUUGAGUAUUUUUAUUGUAUUGUUGCUUGUUCAUGCAACAAAAAUAAAUUAUGGAGCCACGAACUUCACGCAAAGAUUAUCUGAAUCACCAUUACUCUGGCCCCCGGAAAAGUCGCAAACGAGUUCUUGGACAAAUGAAAAAAAGAUAUCAUGGAGAAAGCAAAAGUCGUAGUGAAGUGUGGUGCAAAAAGAAGGCAGAUAACAAUCCUAUUCCUGGAAGUUUUGUGUAUGUGGAACAUGAAUAAUCUUCAAAUAAUAGUAAUUGAUCCAUAAUACAUAGGUACUUAUAUAUAAAUAAUUGGUUGUUUGUACUAGUUGAUUACAAAUCAUUGUUUUUGAAUAUAUCCUUAUAUUCUAAACACAUCUGUUUAUUGAUUUCAGGGAUUAUAGAAGAAGAAGUCAAUUUUGGAAAUAAAGUGUUUUCCCUCAUUGGCUCGCAACAGUCAAGAUAUGUUUUCUGCUGCAAAAGAUUGUAAAAAUUUUCCUCUCUACAUUGAUAGUACUGGGAGGUUACAAAUGAAUAAAAAACACAAUUUCUAUUAUCAGAUCCAGGGCCAGCUGUGGGUUACAAAAAUGAACAAAUGCUACUUUGUUAGAUAUAUUUCUCCAACUUACGACAUCACUAUUUUAGAAAUAGAACGUGAUGAAGUUUUUAUGGGUAACAUGAUACCAAAACUAGAUAAUUUUUUUAAAAAUUGUGUAUUGCCUGAAGUAGUACUUCGGAGAGUCGGCAAUAAUCAAACUUGCUUAUACAUUUCAUUGUGUAAAUAAAAUCAAUAAAAAUAUUUGAAAAAUAAUCAACUGCAUACAUGCAACAUGUACUCUACGUUGAUAAGAACCACCCUUGUGUAAAUUUAACCUUUUCCCACAAAUGAAUUUGCCUGAAAAACCCUCAUGAAAUUUUCCACUACAUUUGUUGUAUCAUUCGAUAGCCGAUGGCAUUUCGCCAUGACCUUUGUCUCAUUUGCAGCACAUAUGAGGGCCCACACUGUGGGAGCUUUACUUUAGACUAGAAGAAUACAUUCUAAUGAGUCUGUGUCUUUUUCAUCACUGUUGACACAGAAUCUACAGUAAUAUGGUUUACAUUCUUUAUGGCAGCCAAACACAUGAGAUGGGUCAAUUUUUGAAUCCUUAUCCUAAAUCAAUAAAAAUAUUUUUCAAAUAUUUUUAUUGAUUUUAUUUACACAAUUGGCUCAAUUUUACUGUCCCAUUCGGUGUCGAGACCCUUGGUCCCUGGGGUCCUAGCGCUUCAAGCCUUUUUAGGGAAAUAUGAAAAAGGUUAGUCGACAUCACAAAAGGCCGAAGAGCUGGCAGCUACCUCUGACUAAGAAUUAGUCUAGCCAUUCAAAGGGGGAACGAUGCCAGUAUCUUUGGAACCUUGCCUAA